RNAcentral lists this transfer RNA (84 nucleotides) under Methanocorpusculum sp. RNAcentral describes it as "tRNA-Ser". It matches the Rfam family "tRNA". Rfam says of the family: Transfer RNA (tRNA) molecules are approximately 80 nucleotides in length. Lineage: Archaea; Methanobacteriati; Methanobacteriota; Methanomicrobia; Methanomicrobiales; Methanocorpusculaceae. The record is from RNAcentral.
GCCGAGAUAGUCUAGUCCGGAAAGGCGGUGGCCUUGAAAGCCUCUGGUGGCGACACCUCGAGAGUUCAAAUCUCUCUCUCGGCG